RNAcentral lists this long non-coding RNA (1193 nucleotides) under Salmo salar (Atlantic salmon). RNAcentral describes it as "lncRNA (ENSSSAG00000098829.1)". Lineage: Eukaryota; Metazoa; Chordata; Actinopteri; Salmoniformes; Salmonidae. The record is from RNAcentral.
CACAUUCUGAGCGAUCCGAAACAUCGUCAUCAUCUCAUUAGCGUCUUCUCUGGCGAGCUCUCAUUGGCUAUUGCUGAUCACCGUCCUCAAAACUUCUCGUUGCACAUCGUGCCGAUAAAAUCAAACCUGUUUGAAAAUACCAAGACAUCUGGAACUGCUCAAAGACGAGAUCGGUAGCCUUCAGAUUGCGCAUUUGACCGCUCACAUCUAGCGUGUGUUGGUGACGGCCGCACACCCCAAGUAGGCAACAACAUGGGGAUUUUGUCUCCGAUCUCAAACACUUGUCUGGGACAGCUAAAUUGUGGCCAAAAUCCUGUAGUGUACACCUGUCAGUCUCCCUCAGAGUUAAAAGACCGUUCCCAUCCAGGAACCAUGUUCGCGUCUUCAGACUGUUUACGGAAACCACCCUGGCUCUCCUCCUGUCCUACUGCCCUGGAAUGGAUGUCGUCUUCAGACUGUUUACGGAAACCACCCUGGCUCUCCUCCUGUCCUACUGCCCUGGAAUGGAUGUCGUCUUCAGAAUAUACCCACUCUAGCCAGUAGACCCUACAGAUUCAGUAUAUCAGCUUGGAACAAAGGCCUUGCUGGUGGUUCUGUGCCUUACCCUACUCUCUGCUCAUCUUCCUCUAUGAUGAAAUACAUCCUGCGACAAAAUUCAGGAGGUUGGGUGGACAAGGAGUAUGAAGGAUCUUGUUUGGAGACUUCUUCCUGGUUAACCUGAUCCUGUGGGUGGAGGGCAGCCAUCCCCUUCGCCGCUCUGGUGGCCAUCUUGGCUUUGAGGUUUGCCAUCUCCAUGCCCUUUACCUUUGUGGGCGCCUAGCCUACUUCGGCUUCAAGAGACCUGUGAGUUUCACCUAUCAAUCACACUAUCUGUAUGAAUAACUCUUUAAAGGCAUCUCACAUCGUGCACAUUUCCCCCUGUGUUUGCAACCUCUUUGUCAGAAUAAUAGUUCUGCAGGAGGGGUGAAGUCAGGCGCAGGAGACUCAGGUACGUGAAACACGUAGUCAUUUUAAUGAAUGAAAAAACCAGUCCAAAAAUAACAAGCCGAAAAGGCAGGGAAAAAUAUUCCAAUAAAGGAAGACUAACACAGUCUUUUGAAAUAUAUCGGGACGCAGCCCAGCAACCCUAACACCCAAACGAUUAAAUUAUAAAUGGACAGAAAAGAAAAUCCCCCAACCUACAAUAGCAGACA